Molecule: long non-coding RNA, 1017 nt
Filed under: Gossypium barbadense (sea-island cotton)
Lineage: Eukaryota; Viridiplantae; Streptophyta; Magnoliopsida; Malvales; Malvaceae
Description: long non-coding RNA (GBAR_LNC019663)
Source: RNAcentral
UUUUCUUUUUCCUUUUUAGUUUCAAAAUCAUUCCCUUUUUUUCAAACACCGACCCUUGGGUUUCUUAGCCUCCAGUGCACCGCCGCCGCAGCCAUGAAGACCGGUGGCCGACAACGGAGGAAAAGAGGUGAAAGACCUCGGCCUUAGAAUACCCCGAGGGCUGAACCCUUCAACCUUAAACAAGAAAAGAGGAAGAUUCUCAGCACCCUCUAGAUCCGGCGGUCGCAAAGGAGGAGAACCCUCCGUGAGCCGGAUCCCGGCGCUUCCUCGGUAAGUCCCCUCUCCCCUUUUUAUUUUCACGUUUUCUUUGUAAAAAUUUCGUAAAAAAAUGCGUAGAUAAAUAAAUGAAAUAAAUAAAUGAUAGAUGAUAAGAAACGGAAAUCAGAAAAACUAAAGAAAACAAUCAGAUUUCUAUCAACCUUUUAGAAUCUCAGUUCUGUAUUUCUUGAUUCACUGAUGUGUGUUCGUAAAAAAAAAAACAACGGUGAGAUUCGGGCUUUUAUAGCCGAUCAAAAUGAUUUUUUCUUCUUUAUUAUCUGUUAACUAUUAUUAUUUCUCGCGUGCUUCCUUUUUGCCAUUAUAAUUAAUUUUCGCAGGUGUCAGACGCGUGGACGACCGGUGGUAGGCGAGCCUUGGGCGGUGGCGGCGUGUGAGGAGCUGGAGCGGCGUACCUGGCAGAGGUGUGCAUGCGGCUAGGGCUAGGUUUUUUUUUGCUGAAACAAAUUUUAAUUUACUGGGCUUUGGGCUGUAAUUUUUGGGUUAUUUUCAUUUGUUUUGGGUCUUUAGGCCUAGGUCAAAAUUGACCUGUUACAAUGAUAUUUUUGUAAAUUUUUAUAUCACAUAAUUUUGGUAAUUUUUUUUAGCUUGACCCCAAACCCAUAAUCUAGAACCCUAAACUUUAAAUUCGAACCUUGAACCAAAAGAUCACGUUUAAGAUUCAAGAUUCGAGGUUCGAAGUUUAAGGUUUAUGGUUCAAAUUAAAAAAAUUACUAAAAUUAUAUAUCAAUGACAUAAAAA